Molecule: ribosomal RNA, 1129 nt
Filed under: uncultured bacterium
Lineage: Bacteria
Description: bacterial SSU rRNA
Rfam family: Bacterial small subunit ribosomal RNA
Source: RNAcentral
GAAGUAGCAAUACUUAGUGGCAGACGGGUGAGUAACAUGUGGGUAUCUGCCCUUUGGCCUGGAAUAACACGAGGAAACUUGUGCUAAUACCGGAUAAGUCUUUACGGAGAAAGCUUUAUGCACCAUUGGAUGAGCCCGCACUUGAUUAGUUUGUUGGUGGGGUAAUGGCCUACCAAGACUGUGAUCAAUAGCUGAUUUGAGAGGAUGAUCAGCCACAUUGGGACUGAGACACGGCCCAAACUCCUACGGGAGGCAGCAGUGGGGAAUCUUGCACAAUGGAGGAAACUCUGAUGCAGCGAUGCCGCGUGAGUGAAGAAGGCCCUUGGGUUGUAAAGCUCUUUCGUCGGGGAAGAAAAUGACUGUACCCGAAUAAGAAGGUCCGGCUAACUUCGUGCCAGCAGCCGCGGUAAUACGAAGGGACCUAGCGUAGUUCGGAAUUACUGGGCUUAAAGAGUUCGUAGGUGGUUGAAAAAGUUAGUGGUGAAAUCCCAGAGCUUAACUCUGGAACUGCCAUUAAAACUUUUCAGCUAGAGUAUGAUAGAGGAAAGCAGAAUUUCUAGUGUAGAGGUGAAAUUCGUAGAUAUUAGAAAGAAUACCAAUUGCGAAGGCAGCUUUCUGGAUCAUUACUGACACUGAGGAACGAAAGCAUGGGUAGCGAAGAGGAUUAGAUACCCUCGUAGUCCAUGCCGUAAACGAUGUGUGUUAGACGUUGGAAAUUUAUUUUCAGUGUCGCAGCGAAAGCGAUAAACACACCGCCUGGGGAGUACGACCGCAAGGUUAAAACUCAAAUGAAUUGACGGGGACCCGCACAAGUAGUGGAGCAUGUGGUUUAAUUCGAAGAUACGCGCAGAACCUUACCAACACUUGACAUGUUCGUCGCGACUCUAAGAGAUUAGAGUUUUCGGUUCGGCCGGACGAAACACAGGUGCUGCAUGGCUGUCGUCAGCUCGUGUCGUGAGAUGUUGGGUUAAGUCCCGCAACGAGCGCAACCCUCACUUUUAGUUGCCAUCAUCAAGUUGGGCACUCUGAAAGAACUGCCAGUGAUAAGCUGGAGGAAAGGUGGGGAUGACGUCAAGUCCUCAUGGCCCUUACGUGUUGGGCUACACACGUGCUACAAUGGUAUCUACAA